This 439-nucleotide ribosomal RNA is filed under the name uncultured bacterium. RNAcentral describes it as "partial 16S ribosomal RNA". It matches the Rfam family "Bacterial small subunit ribosomal RNA", at positions 339 to 795 of the family's 1533-position model. The record is from RNAcentral.
CUACGGGCGGCUCCAGUGGGGAAUUUUGCGCAAUGGGGGAAACCCUGACGCAGCAAUACCGCGUGAGUGAAGAAGGCCUUUGGGUCGUAAAGCUCUUUUCUUGGGGAAGAUAGUGACGGUACCCAAGGAAUAAGCACCGGCUAACUCCGUGCCAGCAGCCGCGGUAAUACGGAGGGUGCAAGCGUUGUUCGGAUUUACUGGGCGUAAAGGGCACGUAGGCGGCACAGCAAGUUAAGGGUGAAAUCCCGGGGCUCAACUCCGGAACUGCUCUUAAAACUGCUGAGCUAGAGAUAGUCAGAGGCGGGUGGAAUUCCAGGUGUAGAGGUGAAAUUCGUAGAUAUCUGGAGGAACACCGGUGGCGAAGGCGGCCCGCUGGGGCUAUUCUGACGCUAAGGUGCGAAAGCGUGGGGAGCAAACGGGAUUAGAUACCCCAGUAGUC